This is an RNA transcript of Abrus precatorius (Indian licorice), 4179 nucleotides long. It is a transcript of the gene named phytochrome B, with no coding region annotated. The transcript is spliced from 6 exons. NCBI's taxonomy places the organism in Eukaryota, Viridiplantae, Streptophyta, Magnoliopsida, Fabales, Fabaceae. The record is from RefSeq and is a predicted model, not a curated record.
GCAAGAAAAGCAGCGUUACUUUGCUGCUUCUGCAACAGUCACUCUUUUUCUUGCUUUCUUAUUUUCACUCUUAGCUACUCUCAGUCCCUCUCUUCUCUGCUCCGAAAUUUCACACAAACCAUAAAUAAAACCUAAAAAAAAAAAGAAGAAGGAAAAAGCACUUUUCAUCUUCAUCAUCUUCAAAAUGGCGUCUGCAAGUGGAGCAGCGAAUUCCUCAAUUCCGACGCAAAUUCACAGUUCGAGAACGAAGCGAAGCCACCACAGCAUCGAUUCGAUGAGCAAAGCGAUAGCGCAGUACACAGAAGAUGCGAGGCUCCACGCCGUGUUCGAACAAUCCGGCGAGUCAGGAAAAUCCUUUGACUAUUCACAAUCGCUUCGUGUCACGUCGGAAUCGGUGCCGGAGCAGCAAAUAACCGCUUACCUUCUCAAAAUCCAGCGUGGCGGUUUUAUCCAACCAUUCGGUUCCAUGAUCGCCGUCGACGAACGCUCCUUUCGCAUCCUCGCCUACUCCGAAAACGCUCGCGACAUGCUCGGAAUUACUCCUCAGUCCGUUCCCUCUCUCGACGACGACAAGCUCGAACCCUUCGCUCUCGCCACCGAUGUUCGCUCUCUCUUCACUCCGUCCAGCGCGUUGCUUCUCGAGAAGGCUUUCACCGCGCGUGAAAUUAGCCUCAUGAACCCUAUUUGGAUCCAUUCUAGAACCUCCGGUAAGCCUUUCUAUGGUAUCCUUCACCGAAUUGACGUUGGUAUUGUCAUUGAUUUGGAACCUGCGCGUACGGAAGAUCCUGCACUUUCCAUUGCAGGUGCGGUGCAGUCGCAGAAGCUUGCGGUUCGCGCCAUUUCGCAGCUUCAGUCUCUUCCUGGAGGAGAUGUUAAGCUUCUUUGUGACACUGUUGUUGAGAGUGUUAGGGAAUUGACAGGGUAUGAUAGGGUUAUGGUGUAUAGGUUUCAUGAGGAUGAGCAUGGUGAGGUUGUUGCUGAGAGUAAGAGGCCUGAUUUGGAGCCUUAUAUUGGUUUGCAUUAUCCUGCUACUGAUAUUCCUCAAGCUUCGAGGUUUUUGUUUAAGCAGAAUAGGGUUAGGAUGAUUGUGGAUUGUCAUGCUUCGCCUGUGAGGGUGGUUCAGGAUGAGGCUCUUGUGCAGCCUCUGUGUUUGGUUGGGUCUACGCUUCGUGCUCCACACGGUUGUCAUGCUCAGUACAUGGCAAAUAUGGGGUCGAUUGCUUCGUUGGUUAUGGCUGUUAUUAUUAAUGGGAAUGAUGAGGAAGGUGUUGGAGGUCGGAGUUCCAUGAGGCUUUGGGGGCUUGUUGUUUGUCAUCAUACUUCUGCUAGGUGUAUUCCUUUUCCCUUGAGGUAUGCUUGUGAGUUCUUGAUGCAGGCGUUUGGGCUGCAGUUGAAUAUGGAGCUUCAGUUGGCAGCGCAGUCAUUGGAGAAACGGGUUUUGAGAACGCAGACGCUCUUGUGUGACAUGCUUCUUAGGGACUCUCCUACUGGCAUUGUUACUCAGACUCCUAGUAUUAUGGACUUGGUCAAGUGUGAUGGAGCUGCUCUUUACUACCAAGGAAAUUACUGCCCGUUGGGUGUCACCCCGACAGAGUCUCAGAUAAGGGAUAUCAUUGAGUGGCUGUUGGCCUUCCAUGGAGAUUCGACGGGUUUGAGUACUGAUAGUCUGGCUGAUGCUGGCUAUCCUGGGGCUGCCUCGCUAGGGGAUGCAGUUUGUGGGAUGGCUGUUGCUUAUAUCACGGAAAAGGAUUUUCUUUUCUGGUUUCGGUCCCACACAGCAAAAGAGAUCAAAUGGGGUGGGGCAAAGCAUCACCCAGAGGACAAGGAUGAUGGGCAGCGAAUGCAUCCUCGUUCUUCGUUCAAGGCUUUUUUAGAAGUGGUAAAAAGCCGUAGUUUGCCGUGGGAGAAUGCAGAAAUGGAUGCUAUUCACUCUUUGCAGCUUAUUCUGCGUGACUCAUUUAAGGAUGCUGAGCAAAGCAAUUCUAAGGCUGUUGUGCAUUCCCAUUUGGUGGAACUAGAGUUGCAAGGGGUAGAUGAACUAAGCUCGGUGGCCAGAGAGAUGGUUAGGUUGAUAGAAACAGCCACUGCUCCCAUAUUUGCUGUUGAUUUUGAUGGCAACAUAAAUGGGUGGAAUGCAAAGGUUUCAGAAUUGACAGGACUCCCAGUUGAGGAUGCUAUGGGGAAGUCCUUGGUCCACGAUCUUGUGUUCAAGGAGUCUGAAGAAACAGUGGGCAAGCUUCUUUCUCGUGCUUUAAAAGGUGAAGAAGAUAAGAAUGUUGAGAUAAAAAUGAGGACGUUUGGCCCAGAACAUCAAAAUAAGGCAGUUUUUGUAGUGGUGAAUGCUUGCUCCAGCAAAGAUUAUACAAAUAAUAUAGUUGGAGUGUGCUUUGUUGGUCAGGAUGUUACUAGUCAAAAAAUUGUGAUGGACAAAUUCAUCAACAUACAGGGUGACUACAAGGCUAUUAUACAUAGUCCAAAUCCAUUGAUCCCUCCCAUUUUUGCAUCGGAUGAUAACACAUGUUGCUUAGAGUGGAACACUGCCAUGGAAAAGCUAACUGGUUGGGGUCGUGUGGAUGUCAUUGGAAAAAUGUUGGUGGGAGAGGUUUUUGGUAGUUGCUGUCAGUUGAAGGGUUCAGAUGCAAUAACAAAGUUCAUGAUUGUCUUGCAUAAUGCGCAUGGGGGACAAGAUACUGAUAAAUUCCCUUUUUCAUUUCUCGACCGUCAUGGAAAGUAUAUACAAACUUUCCUGACUGCAAAUAAGAGGGUUAACAUGGAUGGCCAGAUCAUUGGUGCUUUUUGCUUUUUGCAAGUUGUGACUCCUGAACUUCAACAUGCACUAAAGGCCCAGAGACAACAAGAAAAGAAUUGCUUUGCUAGGAUGAAAGAGUUAGCUUAUAUUUGUCAAGAAGUAAAGAAUCCUUUGAGUGGCAUACGCUUUACAAACUCUCUUUUGGAGGCUACAGGCUUGACCGAUGAGCAAAAGCAGUUUCUUGAGACUAGUGCUGCUUGUGAGAAGCAAAUGUUAAAGAUAAUACGUGACGUUGAUCUUGAAAGAAUCGAAGAUGGGUCCCUGGAGCUUGAAAAGGGUGAAUUCAUGCUUGGAAAUGUCAUAAAUGCAGUUGUUAGCCAAGUAAUGUUAUUGCUAAGAGAAAGAAAUUUACAGUUGAUUCGUGAUAUUCCUGAAGAAAUCAAGACAUUAGCUGUUUAUGGUGAUCAAUUGAGGAUUCAACAAAUUUUGGCUGAUUUCUUAUUGAAUAUGGUGCGCUAUGCACCAUCUCCAGACGGCUGGGUAGAGAUUCAUGUACGUCCAAGAAUAAAACAAAUUUCAGAUGGGCUCACCCUUCUCCAUGCUGAAUUUAGGAUGGUAUGUCCAGGUGAAGGUCUUCCUCCUGAAUUGGUUCAAGACAUGUUCCAUAACAGUCGGUGGGCGACUCAAGAAGGCUUAGGGCUGAGCAUGAGCAGGAAGAUUCUAAAGUUAAUGAACGGUGAAGUCCAAUAUAUCAGGGAGGCAGAACGUUGCUACUUCUUUGUUCUUCUUGAACUACCCUUGACACGGAAAAGCUCUAAAAAAUGUUAAAUAGAUAAUGCUCACCUAACGAGGCAACUUAAAGGGACAAGUAUUUGAGCAAGCUGAUUUGGCUAGUUAUCUCGGUCACAUGUAAUUCUACCAAAUUGGAUUGUUAUUUUGCGCCCUGACAACACUUGUUCGGUACAGCAAUGAGCGGCGUUAUUUUGUAGUUAAAUGUAACCUUAAAUCUUACUGAUAAAGUAAAUGCAGAGUAGAUAAAAUGCCGUGUCGCCAAUAUGUAUAUAUGUUCAUGGCCAAGUGGGUGUCCUUGAAAAUUUUUCAAGCAAAUGCUUACUUCAUUAGCAGCUGCCGUGAACUCCAAUCCAUGGUUGGAUUGAACUACAUCCAUUUCCUGCAUUGUUCUUGGUUCUGAAAGUACUUCCUUAUACCAUAUGUUUCCAAGUUUGCAAAUAACUGUAAAAUCUUAACCUCCAACAAGAUUUACUAUAUUCCUCAACACAUUAGCAGAUGAAUUAGUCACAACUGCCAAUUUAGAAUGCAUUAGGAAGUGAGUGGAUAUCCGUACAGAGCUCCGGCGUGAAGGGUUUGAUGAACUUGAAAGGUUGGGUAGCAUUUGUUCUUUCCUUUGGUUCACCGUUCAAAAUCACAAG